GACAGAGGUGGCAAGCGUUGUUCGGAAUCACUGGGCUUAAAGGGCACGUAGGCGGCCCGGCAAGUCGGAUGUGAAAUCCCCUGGCUUAACCAGGGAACUGCAUCCGAAACUACCGGGCUCGAGCGCAGGAGGGGAGAGCGGAACUCCUAGUGGAGCGGUGAAAUGCGUAGAUAUUAGGAGGAACGCCGGUGGCGAAAGCGGCUCUCUGGACUGCAGCUGACGCUGAGGUGCGAAAGCUAGGGGAGCAAACAGG
This 253-nucleotide ribosomal RNA is filed under the name uncultured bacterium. RNAcentral's name for it is "partial 16S ribosomal RNA". It matches the Rfam family "Bacterial small subunit ribosomal RNA", at positions 524 to 776 of the family's 1533-position model. The record is from RNAcentral.